AUGGUGACUAGGCUGGGUAGACUUAUUCUGGUCAAUCAGGUCAUGCGAGCGCGUCCAACGCAUCACAUGAUUAUUGUUGAAGCUCCUAAAUGGGCGGUGGAGAAAGUGAACAAAGGAUGCCGGGCCUUCUUCUGGGCCGGAUCUGAGGAGACACAUGGAGGGAAAUGUGUUGUGGCAUGGGACAGGGUGUGCAAACUGAAGAACUUUGGCGGGUUGGGAGUGGUUGACCUGCACAAACAUGGCAUUGCGCUAAUAUUGAGAUGGGAAUGGCUGAAGAGAACUGAUCCAUCGCGGCCAUGGCAGGGGCUGUGCAACAUGGUCGACAAGCAGGCCCAGGAGGCAUUCACGAGCUUGGUCAGCUGGCAGAUCGGCGAUGGAUCACAGACGCUUUUUUGGAAAGAUAGAUGGCUUCAUGGUUACACGGUAAAGGAGAUUGCGCCGCUUCUAGCGAGGAAAGUCAGGACACAGGUGGCCAACAGGAGGUUGGUGAGAGAGGGGCUCUUUAUGCACGAGUGGAUCAAUGACAUUAGGGGAGAGCUGGACACAGAAAGCCUGGCACAAUUCAUUAGAUUAUGGGAGGCUUUGCUGGAGGUUCAGUUGGCACAGGAGGUGGAGGAUAGACCAAUCUGGGCUUGGAACACCUCUGGAACCUACACGGCGGCAUCAGCUUAUAAGAUGAUGUGCGAAGGGGGGAUCAGGUUCUAG
Molecule: ribosomal RNA, 705 nt
Filed under: Triticum aestivum (bread wheat)
Lineage: Eukaryota; Viridiplantae; Streptophyta; Magnoliopsida; Poales; Poaceae
Description: partial small subunit ribosomal RNA
Source: RNAcentral